UUCUGGGAUCAGAUGGGGAAUCAGGACCCCGUGGCGUCCGGAAAGGCAAGGAAGACAGGCAGGGCAGGAUGAAAUCCAAGGGAGUGUGGGGAGGAAGAAGAAGCCAAAGGAAAUUUGGAGCACUUUCUCAGCCCCCUGGCCAUUCUGUUAGGCCACCUUGCGGUGGGUGACAACACCACGGCAAAUGCCGCUGUGGUGCUGCGGCAUUUGGGAGGGGACCUUUGAGGGCUUUGGGGUCUGCCGGGGGUGCUCUUGGAGGUGCUGCUGCGGUGGUGGAGGUGGGAGCUGGCCCUUGGGCUAGGAGUGCUGUCCAUUCUCCUGUGUACUUGCCCUGAAUUGUCGAGGCUUCCGGAUCUUUGGUGGUGGCUGGGGUCUUCGUGACCUUCUCCCCAGCAUCCUUCACUUUGCCUUUUACUGCAGCGGUCUAGCUCUGUUCCUCCCUGCGCAGGCUUGGGAAGCUCUCCUCUCCAGAUCCCUCCUCACUGGUCGGGCCUCGCCUCUUGCCUUUGCAAAUCGCCUCAGAACGUGAAGGCUACAGCAGCGGAAGCCUGGACUUCCUUUUUGACCGGAAGCUCUAGGCUCCCUGGACUUCUAGAACGCAAAGACUUGCAACCUAGCAAUGGCGAUGAUGCGGCUCAGCCUCAUUUUGACGUAGGCAGGGCGUUCUUAGUAGCUAGGAGACGCCAGACACCGGCAGCUUCACCAGGACUGCCCUCCUUUGGCCCUGGCUGACACAGCUGUAGCCUCCCCAGGUUUCCCAGUGGCCCUUGCAGAUGGCUGAGAGGACAAGACCACCACCGGCUGAGAAGUUCCAAAGGCCAGGCACCCCAGUUUAGUUUUGGAAGGACCGGCAGCUACAAUCUUCUCCUGGGUCGGGCGGCCUCCAUCAGCUUUGAUGAGCCUGAGGCCAUCACAUACGUCAUCAGUGCGGUCAAUAGAAAGAUCAAGCUCCGGGUCACUUGGGAGAGCUAUUCUGAAAUCCGCCACCGGGCCCAAAAGACUGCCAAAAUACAGACAACACUCAGGAGAAUGCCAGUAUGGAUGUGGUUCAUUUCCUUUGGUUUCACUUUUUGCAAGAAUGUCAAUAUGGAUGUGGUUCAAUUCCUCUAGCUCCUCUAGCAGUGAGUCAAGUUGCUGGUCAUUGGACAAAGAUCACAAAUUUAGAGUCUGGCUGAACCUGGAUUCUUUAUCCCCUCUCUCCUUUUGUCUGUGACUCCCCCACUAUUACUAAAAGAAGAUCAGAACCAUGUCUCUUCAUU
This 1259-nucleotide long non-coding RNA is filed under the name Monodelphis domestica (gray short-tailed opossum). RNAcentral's name for it is "lncRNA (ENSMODG00000041319.1)". The record is from RNAcentral. Lineage: Eukaryota; Metazoa; Chordata; Mammalia; Didelphimorphia; Didelphidae.